This is a small nucleolar RNA of Protopterus annectens (West African lungfish), 66 nucleotides long. RefSeq annotates it as small nucleolar RNA SNORD58. NCBI's taxonomy places the organism in Eukaryota, Metazoa, Chordata, Ceratodontiformes, Protopteridae. The transcript has a single exon. The record is from RefSeq and is a predicted model, not a curated record.
UUGCUGUGAUGACUUUCUUAGGACACCUUUGGAAUAAUCAUGAAAAUAAUUUUUGGUCUGAGCAAC